AGAGGAAGUAAAAGUCGUAACAAGGUUUCCGUAGGUGAACCUGCGGAAGGAUCAUAACCUAGAGUUGUAGGCUUUGCCUGCUAUCUCUUACCCAUGUCUUUUGAGUACCUUACGUUUCCUCGGUGGGUUCGCCCACCGAUUGGACAAAUUUAAACCCUUUGCAGUUGAAAUCAGCGUCUGAAAAAACUUAAUAGUUACAACUUUCAACAACGGAUCUCUUGGUUCUGGCAUCGAUGAAGAACGCAGCGAAAUGCGAUAAGUAGUGUGAAUUGCAGAAUUCAGUGAAUCAUCGAAUCUUUGAACGCACAUUGCGCCCCUUGGUAUUCCAUGGGGCAUGCCUGUUCGAGCGUCAUUUGUACCUUCAAGCUCUGCUUGGUGUUGGGUGUUUGUCUCCUGUAGACUCGCCUUAAAACAAUUGGCAGCCGGCGUAUUGAUUUCGGAGCGCAGUACAUCUCGCGCUUUGCACUCAUAACGACGACAUCCAAAAGUACAUUUUUACACUCUUGACCUCGGAUCAGGUAGGGAUACCCGCUGAACUUAAGCAUAUCAAUAGCG
This 555-nucleotide ribosomal RNA is filed under the name Phoma herbarum. Its description in RNAcentral is "eukaryotic LSU rRNA". The stretch from base 199 to 352 matches the Rfam family "5.8S ribosomal RNA". The record is from RNAcentral. Lineage: Eukaryota; Fungi; Ascomycota; Dothideomycetes; Pleosporales; Didymellaceae.